AGAUUUAAAAAAGAUAUUGUGACAGAUAUUUAAAAAAGAUCGAGACUUUAAAGUUUGACGUUUUUUUAAUUAAUAUAGGAGGUUUUAGUUUUUUCUUUUUUAUUUAUUAAAAGGUCGGUAAUAGUUUGAGAAUUCUAAAUUGAACUUUUCUCUUACUACGUGAGACAUUUCAUUUGAUUUCUCCCACAUGUUCCCCCAAUUA
Molecule: long non-coding RNA, 202 nt
Filed under: Lathyrus oleraceus (garden pea)
Lineage: Eukaryota; Viridiplantae; Streptophyta; Magnoliopsida; Fabales; Fabaceae
Description: Pisum sativum (pea) long non-coding RNA (PSAT_LNC010877)
Source: RNAcentral